Molecule: ribosomal RNA, 605 nt
Filed under: uncultured bacterium
Lineage: Bacteria
Description: bacterial SSU rRNA
Rfam family: Bacterial small subunit ribosomal RNA
Source: RNAcentral
UCGAGCGUGCCCCGACGGCUUCGGCUAUCGGGGAAAGCGGCAGACGGCUGAGUAACGCGUGAGUAACCUGCCCUCCGGUGGGGUAUAACCUCGAGAAAUUGGGGAUAAUCCCGCAUACGCUCCCGAUGCUCUGGUGUCGGGAUGAAAGCCUUCGGGCGCCGGGGGAGGGGCUCGCGUCCUAUCAGGUAGUUGGUGGGGUAACGGCCUACCAAGCCGAUGACGGGUAGCUGGUCUGAGAGGACGACCAGCCAGAGGGGGACUGAGAACGGCCCCCACUCCUACGGGAGGCAGCAGCAGGGAAUUUUGGGCAAUGGGCGAAAGCCUGACCCAGCGACGUCGCGUGGGGGAUGAAGGCCUUAGGGCUGUAAACCCCUUUUCCAAGGGAAGAGGAAGGACGGUACCUUGGGAAUAAGCUCCGGCUAACUACGUGCCAGCAGCCGCGGUAAUACGUAGGGAGCUAGCGUUACCCGGAAUUACUGGGCGUAAAGAGAGCGUAGGCGGCUAGGUAAGUCUCUUGUGAAAGCUCCCGGCUUAACUGGGAGAGGUCAAGGGAUACUACCUGGCUUGAGGGCAGUAGAGGAAGGCGGAAUUCCCGGUGUAGCGGU